Oncorhynchus tshawytscha (Chinook salmon) is the source of this 1633-nucleotide long non-coding RNA. The record is from Ensembl. Lineage: Eukaryota; Metazoa; Chordata; Actinopteri; Salmoniformes; Salmonidae.
CCUGUUGUCUGUAACCUAUAACUAGUCUAGGGAGAGACCUGUUGUCUGUAACCAGUAACUAGUCUAGGGAGAGACCUGUUGUCUGUAACCAGUAACUAGUCUAGGGAGAGACAUGUUGUCUGUAACCUAUAACUAGUCUAGGGAGAGACCUGUUGUCUGUAACCAGUAACUAGUCUAGGGAGAGACCUGUUGUCUGUAACCAGUAACUAGUCUAGGGAGAGACCUGUUGUCUGUAACCAGUAACUAGUCUAGGGAGAGACCUGUUGUCUGUAACCAGUAACUGGUCUAGGGAGAGACCUGUUGUCUUUAGUUAAAUUUAUUUAAAUGAAUGUAAUACACAUUAUUAUAUCCUUCUGGCUAAAUCCCAAAUGGCACCCUAAAUGACCAGUUCAAAAGUAGUGCACUUUAUAGGGAACAGGGUGUCAUUUGGGCCAAAUAUAGGAUAAUUUGACUGUAGCCUUCUGCGUUCAGCAGAGACCACUUUUUCCUUGUUGGCACUUUAUCUGUUGGUUAGUAGGUGUUAUUAUAUUAUUGAACCUCUUGAGCCAUACGCUAUUGGGUUAGUCAGACUGAUCAGCAAGUCUCAAUAAGGUGUUGGGUUAGUCAGGCUGAUCAACAAGUCUCAAUAAGGUGUUGGGUUAGUCAGGCUGAUCAACAAGUCUCAAUAAGGUGUUGGGAUCAACAAGUCUCAAUAAGGUGUUGGGUUAGUCAGGCUGAUCAGCAGGUCUCAAUAAGGUGUUGGGUUAGUCAGGCUGAUCAACAAGUCUCAAUAAGGUGUUGGCAUCAACAAGUCUCAAUAAGGUGUUGGGUUAGUCAGGCUGAUCAACAAGUGUCAAUAAGGUGUUGGGUUAGUCAGGCUGAUCAACAAGUCUCAAUAAGGUGUUGGGUUAGUCAGGCUGAUCAACAAGUCUCAAUAAGGUGUUGGCAUCUACAAGUCUCAAUAAGGUGUUGGGUUAGUCAGGCUGAUCAGCAAGUCUCAAGUCUCAAACACCUUAGUAAUAUAUUCUGUCCAUGGACUCAUGCUACUCAUAUUCACUGGGGUUGUGUGUCCCAAAUGGCAACUCAUUCUACAUUUGACCAGGGCCCAUAUGGGGGAUAGGAGGUCAUUAAUGACCGGGGCCCAUAUGGGGGGGGAUAGGAAGUCAUUAAUGACCAGGGCCCAUAUGGGGGAUAGGAAGUCAUUAAUGACCAGGGCCCAUAUGGGGGAUAGGAGGUCAUUAAUGACCGGGGCCCAUGGGGGGGAUAGGAAGUCAUUAAUGACCAGGGCCCAUAUGGGGGGAUAGGAAGUCAUUAAUGACCAGGGCCCAUAUGGGGGAUAGGAAGUCAUUAAUGACCAGGGCCCAUAUGGGGGGAUAGGAAGUCAUUAAUGACCAGGGCCCAUAUGGGGGAUAGGAAGUCAUUAAUGACCAGGGCCCAUAUGGGGGAUAGGAAGUCAUUAAUGACCAGGGCCCAUAUGGGGGAUAGGAAGUCAUUAAUGACCAGGGCCCAUAUGGGGGGGAUAGGAAGUCAUUAAUGACCAGGGCCCAUAUGGGGGAAUAGGAAGUCAUUAAUGACCAGGGCCCAUAUGGGGUAUAGGAGGUCAUUAAUGACCAGGGCCCAUAUGGGGGAUAGGAAGUCAUUAAUGACCAGGGCC